RNAcentral lists this ribosomal RNA (495 nucleotides) under uncultured bacterium. Its description in RNAcentral is "partial 16S ribosomal RNA". It matches the Rfam family "Bacterial small subunit ribosomal RNA", at positions 28 to 507 of the family's 1533-position model. The record is from RNAcentral.
GACGAACGCUGGCGGCGUGCCUAAUACAUGCAAGUAGAACGCUGAAGGAGGAGCUUGCUUCUCUGGAUGAGUUGCGAACGGGUGAGUAACGCGUAGGUAACCUGCCUGGUAGCGGGGGAUAACUAUUGGAAACGAUAGCUAAUACCGCAUAAUAGCAGUUGUUGCAUGACAACUGUUCGAAAGGUGCAAUUGCACCACUACCAGAUGGACCUGCGUUGUAUUAGCUAGUUGGUGGGGUAACGGCUCACCAAGGCGACGAUACAUAGCCGACCUGAGAGGGUGAUCGGCCACACUGGGACUGAGACACGGCCCAGACUCCUACGGGAGGCAGCAGUAGGGAAUCUUCGGCAAUGGACGGAAGUCUGACCGAGCAACGCCGCGGGAGUGAAGAAGGUUUUCGGAUCGUAAAGCUCUGUUGUAAGAGAAGAACGAGUGUGAGAGUGGAAAGUUCACACUGUGACGGUAUCUUACCAGAAAGGGACGGCUAACUACGUG